UACGAAGGGGGCUAGCGUUGUUCGGAUUUACUGGGCGUAAAGCGCACGUAGGCGGAUCGAUCAGUCAGGGGUGAAAUCCCAGAGCUCAACUCUGGAACUGCCUUUGAUACUGUCGAUCUGGAGUAUGGAGGAGGUGAGUGGAAUUCCGAGUGUAGAGGUGAAAUUCGUAGAUAUUCGGAGGAACACCAGUGGCGAAGGCGGCUCACUGGUCCAUUACUGACGCUGAGGUGCGAAAGCGUGGGGAGCAAACAGG
RNAcentral lists this ribosomal RNA (253 nucleotides) under uncultured bacterium. RNAcentral describes it as "partial 16S ribosomal RNA". It matches the Rfam family "Bacterial small subunit ribosomal RNA", at positions 524 to 776 of the family's 1533-position model. The record is from RNAcentral.